This is a long non-coding RNA of Erinaceus europaeus (western European hedgehog), 337 nucleotides long. RefSeq lists it as uncharacterized. The transcript has 2 exons. The record is from RefSeq and is a predicted model, not a curated record. Lineage: Eukaryota; Metazoa; Chordata; Mammalia; Eulipotyphla; Erinaceidae.
CCCGGCUCCCCACCUGCAGGGGAGUCGCUUCACAAGCAAUGAAGCUGGUCUGCAGGUGUCUUUCUCUCCUCCCUCUGUCUUCCCCUCCUCUCUCCAUCCCUGUCUUAUCCAACAACAACAUCAAUAAUAACUACAAAAAUAAAACAACAAGGGCAACAAAAGGGAAUAAAUAAAUAAAUAUUUUUUAAAAAUAAAAAUAAACAAAAAAAACAGGGAAGCUUCCAAUGGAGGGGAUGGGACACGGAACUCUAGCGGUGGAAACUGUAUGGAAUUGAACCUGUUAUCUUACAAUCUUGUUGACCAUUAUUAAAUUACAAAAAGAAAGAAAAAAAAGAAA